UAUUACCGCGGCUGCUGGCACGGAGUUAGCCGAUGCUGAUUCCUCAGGUACCUUCACUUUCUUAUUCCCUGAGAAAAGAGGUUUACAACCCAAGAGCCUUCCUCCCUCACGCGGUAUUGCUCCGUCAGGCUUUCGCCCAUUGCGGAAAAUUCCCCACUGCUGCCUCCCGUAGGAGUCUGGGCCGUGUCUCAGUCCCAGUGUGGCUGGUCAUCCUCUCAGACCAGCUACUGAUCGUCGCCUUGGUGGGCCUUUACCCCACCAACUAGCUAAUCAGACAUCGGCCGCUCCUAUAGCAUGAGGCCUUGCGGUCCCCCACUUUCACCCUCAGGUCGUAUGCGGUAUUAGCUAAUCUUUCGACUAGUUAUCCCCCACUACAGGGCACGUUCCGAUGUAUUACUCACCCGUUCGCCACUCGCCAUCAAUCUAGCAAGCUAGAUCAUGCUGCCGUUCGACUUGCAUGUGUAAGGCAUGCCGCCAGCGUUCAAUCUGAGCCAGGAUCAAACUCU
RNAcentral lists this ribosomal RNA (506 nucleotides) under uncultured beta proteobacterium. RNAcentral describes it as "partial 16S ribosomal RNA". Lineage: Bacteria; Pseudomonadati; Pseudomonadota; Betaproteobacteria. The record is from RNAcentral.